GGAACUGUGCCUGAAGUAAAGGAUCACUUUGAUAGAGUGCAUAAUGGAGGUUCAACUCCUCCCAGAUCCU
Molecule: transfer RNA, 70 nt
Filed under: Peltorhamphus novaezeelandiae (New Zealand sole)
Lineage: Eukaryota; Metazoa; Chordata; Actinopteri; Pleuronectiformes; Rhombosoleidae
Description: tRNA-Ile
Rfam family: tRNA
About the family: Transfer RNA (tRNA) molecules are approximately 80 nucleotides in length.
Source: RNAcentral